RNAcentral lists this transfer RNA (71 nucleotides) under Cordylochernes scorpioides. RNAcentral describes it as "tRNA-Gly". The record is from RNAcentral. Lineage: Eukaryota; Metazoa; Arthropoda; Arachnida; Pseudoscorpiones; Chernetidae.
UGCAUCGGCCGGGAAUCGAACCCGGGCCGCCCGCGUGGCAGGAGAGCAUUCUACCACUAAGCCACCGAUGC